AAGGCUGUUCAAUGACCCAUACCCAUAAACAUGUUUUCACAUCUGACACACAACCGUUCCUUGGCGUUGGCUGAGUCUCACUCUCACGUGGUGGCCCGAACAUAAGGUGCACUCAAAUCAUACCUCAGGAGAUACUUCACCCAACAUCUCCCCCCGGAGGUAAGUAUAUAAUUGGGUUACCGUGCCCCUCUCAUAGGCAGUCCACGGAAACCCCCACCACUGCAGUGACCGUUUAAUAU
RNAcentral lists this long non-coding RNA (239 nucleotides) under Theobroma cacao (cacao). RNAcentral describes it as "long non-coding RNA (TCAC_LNC004011)". Lineage: Eukaryota; Viridiplantae; Streptophyta; Magnoliopsida; Malvales; Malvaceae. The record is from RNAcentral.